Hirundo rustica (Barn swallow) is the source of this 1044-nucleotide long non-coding RNA. RefSeq lists it as uncharacterized. The transcript is spliced from 4 exons. NCBI's taxonomy places the organism in Eukaryota, Metazoa, Chordata, Aves, Passeriformes, Hirundinidae. The record is from RefSeq and is a predicted model, not a curated record.
GUAAAAAGGACAUUGGAGAGACUCUAAUACCCUACAACAAAGAACGGAUUUCUUGAACUCUUGAGACAAGAUGAAGAUCAACGUGACGUGCAACAAUACGUUCAGAAAAACCCAUUUCUAACAGACGUGAAGCAAGAAUAAAGGUACUAACCAUGGAAGGAAACUUACCUGCUCCCAUUUCAUUUCCAACCCUUGGAAUAAUAUCAUCAUCUUGACAGUCUGCUUUUGGAUUGUCCACAGGCUCUGUAUCUGCACAAUUCCACUUCCAAACCUCAUGAUGGGGUGCCAGCAGAAAAACUCCGCUGAACUGUCCAAGGGAGGUCUGAAGAAUCUCCAGGGAUUCCCAAUUCCUGUAAGACAGCCUCAGCCUUGAUCUCCAUUUCUUGGUUUUACAACCUUGAAUUUGCUACCCACAGAGCUGAAGCUUCUCAGCUGGGAGCACCUGGAGGCUGUGUUGUAUUACCGAGCCUCUUGUCCUGUGAGCCCAAGACUCACUUCAACAGAGGAGGCCCUUCAAGGCCUCAAAUUCCCCAGCACCAGUCUGAUCACAAUCAGGCUGUAGCACCCACGUGUGCUGGCCCAGGUUGCCUCAGGUGCUCUGUUUUUGCUCACUGGGCCUCCUUUACAGAAGGAGUUCACAGAAUUCAGCUGUCAGCCUUGCAAACCGCUAAAGCAGAAAGCAACAGUUUGAUUGCUGCAAUAUUAAUCACAUAUGUCCACGGAUCAUUUUGGUGCAAGUAAACAGAGAGAGCCACAUGGAGGAGCUGAUUGAGGAGGACCAGAGGUUUGAUAUAUUUAUUUGUAUAAAUAUAAAAACAUACAUCUAUAAAAUAACUUGAUAGACAAAAAAAGCGACUAAAAUAUUUCAUGGCAAACCAAAUGAGAUGUUUGAUAUACCUUGAAGUUGUUCUUUUUCCCUUACUUGCAGAGUAUGGUCUGUUCUGAGCUGUGGGCACAGAAGGAAAUUUCUUCUUGUUUUCUACCUAAAAGUUUUUUUCAGAAAUUAGUGGGGUAUUAUUAUUAUUGAAAUUUUUUUCUAGCUUU